RNAcentral lists this ribosomal RNA (519 nucleotides) under uncultured bacterium. RNAcentral's name for it is "bacterial SSU rRNA". It matches the Rfam family "Bacterial small subunit ribosomal RNA", at positions 35 to 524 of the family's 1533-position model. The record is from RNAcentral.
CAAGCUGGCGGCAUGCCUAUAAUGCAAGUCGAACGCUUUGAUUUCACCGGGUGCUUGCACCCACCGAAGUCAAAGAGUGGCGGACGGGUGAGUAACACGUGGGUAACCUGCCCAUAAGAGGGGGAUAACAUUCGGAAACGGAUGCUAAUACCGCAUACUUCUAAUCGCCUCCUGGCGAAUGGAAAAAAGGUGGCUUCGGCUACCGCUUAUGGAUGGACCCGCGGCGUAUUAGCUAGUUGGUGAGGUAAUGGCUCACCAAGGCGAUGAUACGUAGCCGACCUGAGAGGGUGAUCGGCCACACUGGGACUGAGACACGGCCCAGACUCCUACGGGAGGCAGCAGUAGGGAAUCUUCCGCAAUGGACGAAAGUCUGACGGAGCAAUGCCGCGUGAGUGAAGAAGGUUUUCGGAUCGUAAAACUCUGUUGUUAGAGAAGAACAAGGAUGAGAGUAACUGCUCAUCCCCUGACGGUAUCUAACCAGAAAGCCACGGCUAACUACGUGCCAGCAGCCGCGGUAAU